GAUGAACGCUGGCGGCGUGCCUAAUACAUGCAAGUCGAGCGAACAGACGAGGAGCUUGCUCCUCUGACGUUAGCGGCGGACGGGUGAGUAACACGUGGAUAACCUACCUAUAAGACUGGGAUAACUUCGGGAAACCGGAGCUAAUACCGGAUAACAUGUUGAACCGCAUGGUUCAACAGUGAAAGACGGUUUUGCUGUCACUUAUAGAUGGAUCCGCGUCGCAUUAGCUAGUUGGUAAGGUAACGGCUUACCAAGGCAACGAUGCGUAGCCGACCUGAGAGGGUGAUCGGCCACACUGGAACUGAGACACGGUCCAGACUCCUACGGGAGGCAGCAGUAGGGAAUCUUCCGCAAUGGGCGAAAGCCUGACGGAGCAACGCCGCGUGAGUGAAGAAGGUCUUCGGAUCGUAAAACUCUGUUAUUAGGGAAGAACAAAUGUGUAAGUAACUAUGCACGUCUUGACGGUACCUAAUCAGAAACCCACGGCUAACUACGUG
RNAcentral lists this ribosomal RNA (497 nucleotides) under uncultured bacterium. RNAcentral's name for it is "partial 16S ribosomal RNA". It matches the Rfam family "Bacterial small subunit ribosomal RNA", at positions 28 to 507 of the family's 1533-position model. The record is from RNAcentral.